UAGUGGUGCGAAUGAUGAUUCAGUUAAAUGCAUGAUGUCAUCUUAUGAUCUAAAGUUUUUGACGCAUAAAUUAUAUCUUAUCCACCAAUC
Lolium rigidum is the source of this 90-nucleotide small nucleolar RNA. RefSeq annotates it as small nucleolar RNA Z266. The transcript has a single exon. Lineage: Eukaryota; Viridiplantae; Streptophyta; Magnoliopsida; Poales; Poaceae. The record is from RefSeq and is a predicted model, not a curated record.